CCCUGCACUUCGGGAUAAGCCUGGGAAACUGGGUCUAAUACCGGAUAGGAGCCAUUUUUAGUGUGAUGGUUGGAAAGUUUUUUCGGUGUAGGAUGAGCUCGCGGCCUAUCAGCUUGUUGGUGGGGUAAUGGCCUACCAAGGCGGCGACGGGUAGCCGGCCUGAGAGGGUGGACGGCCACAUUGGGACUGAGAUACGGCCCAG
RNAcentral lists this ribosomal RNA (202 nucleotides) under uncultured Actinomycetales bacterium. Its description in RNAcentral is "partial 16S ribosomal RNA". It matches the Rfam family "Bacterial small subunit ribosomal RNA", at positions 129 to 334 of the family's 1533-position model. The record is from RNAcentral. Lineage: Bacteria; Bacillati; Actinomycetota; Actinomycetes; Actinomycetales.